CAGAACUUUCCCUGCGAAUUUGUUGUCUCGUCACGCUGUCGGGAACUAUCAUGUGCGGGUUAUCUGCUUUUCGUUAUUCCCGUCACCACGCCGGUGAUAUGUUAUCGUUAUCUGUGAUUGCACGUGCCGCUCUUCGAAGUGUUACUGGGCGCGAGGAUUCUUUUCCUUAAAAGGGGACCACCGUAGGAUUUUGGGGCACUCCGACUCCGAGCAUUGGGCAUUGCGGCAGUGUGUUCGGUAAGGCUUUGUACGUGGUGAGACGAGAUCGACUAGGCGCUCUAGGCGCGGCCCGGCUGGCCCCCCUCACCAGCGGACCGGAUCUUCCGGUGGCAGCUCGCGCCACUAUGCAACUUCGGCGAACGCGCAUCCCAGAGAUGACUUCCCUCCUAGGCCUCGUCACCGUUCUGUUGCAACGUGGACCAUUGUACAUUCCGGACAACCAGUCCCAUGGGCCUCGCGCUCAAGAUGGGCGUCGCAACCCCGGCCUCUGCGUGGCGCCGACCCGUCUUCCGUACCGCAACCAUUUCGAGGUGUAACCAUUGAGGAUCGUCACCCAGCGGAUCCUUUGCUGCCCUAUACAGAGGAAGAAAGACAAGCCUUGUGUCCCAGCUGCGGCGUUCCCAUCAUCCAUCGGGCCACCCAUCUGAGAGGACCCCUCCACCGCGUCCGAAUGGAACUAACCCAGACCAUGAGAGCUCGAGCCACACGGGUCACGGAGUCUGACCUGAGCGCCGCCAUUUCCAUGAUCCAACGUCAUCGGCCGGAGCUCCUGUUGCCCACCGAACCGCGACCUCAGCAACCACGAGCACUGGACACCGACUUGAUCGAUCUUCUCGAGGAAGACAUGCCAGAGAACUGAGUGUGUGCUUCGACUGCUUCAGGAACGGCCUACUUUCGUGCCCGUGGAUGCGGCAUGUUUUUCGUUUUUUGUGAGUCCAAUUUGGAGAAGGGGGGAUGUGGGAAACAGAACUUUCCCUGCGAAUUUGUUGUCUCGUCACGCUGUCGGGAACUAUCAUGUGCGGGUUAUCUGCUUUUCGUUAUCCCGUCACCACGCCGGUGAUAUGUUAUCGUUAUCUGUGAUUGCACGUGCCGCUCUUCGAAGUGUUACUGGGCGCGAGGAUUCUUUUCCUUAAAAGGGGACCACCGUAGGAUUUUGGGGCACUCCGACUCCGAGCAUUGGGCAUUGCGGCAGUGUGUUCGGUAAGGCUUUGUACGUGGUGAGGUAUGUCAUUAAACGUUUGAUUGCA
Long non-coding RNA from Ornithodoros turicata, 1247 nucleotides. RefSeq lists it as uncharacterized. The transcript is spliced from 2 exons. The record is from RefSeq and is a predicted model, not a curated record. NCBI's taxonomy places the organism in Eukaryota, Metazoa, Arthropoda, Arachnida, Ixodida, Argasidae.